RNAcentral lists this long non-coding RNA (1205 nucleotides) under Fukomys damarensis (Damara mole-rat). RNAcentral describes it as "lncRNA (ENSFDAG00000029103.1)". Lineage: Eukaryota; Metazoa; Chordata; Mammalia; Rodentia; Bathyergidae. The record is from RNAcentral.
GUCCGAGUGAGGACAGCAGGAUGCUGGGCUCUUAGAAGAAGACGAGGCCUUGCAGGGUGGCGGCUGGUGCUCGGCUCUUCCGCAGAGCUGGGGGACGCCGUGGAGGAGGGAUUCUCACCGCGGAGGAUGAAUGGAUGGCGGAGGACCCUGGCGCCUUCUUACCCAGCAACCGGCGAACCCUGCGGGGCCGUCCCACUUUCCUCCCCUCCCCUCCGCUGGAACGUUCGCGAACCUUCUAGAACAUUCUGCGGUCUCCUGGGAGGCCAGCCCUUCUCCUCCAGGACUCUGCCCUGACCGCUCGCCGCUCCCACGCCCCGCUUCAGCUGCUCCUGUUCUCUCCUUUCCUUCUCACUGCCGCCCUGCAGAAGCUCCGGCCCCAUAGGACAGGCACUUCCUUCUGCUGUGUCAGCGGGACUCUGCCAAAUAAACGCAGGAACGGCUGAGUGACAAAGAGCCAGCUGUUUUGACAGUAGCCACCCUGGCAUCUGGGCGCGACCCUCAUCACCUACUCUGCAGCCCGAGCCACCCAAGGGCGGCGCCUCCCCUUUGCCUAGUCCAUCGCCCCACGGGGAUGGAUUCUGGGACCGUUGACGUCCACCUCCCGUGCCCUGCUUUGGUGCUGCUGCUGACGGUGAUGCUGGGGACUGCGGGGGUUUGAGUGGUCUUCUCCCUGGUUGGGGUGGGGCCUCACCUGCAUGUGAUUUGCAUAACGUCCUCUGACCACGCCCCUGGUGGAGUUUAAAGACCUUUGCCUUGGCUUCCAAGUCGCACCUGCAGUUCCCCCACCCCGUCCCAUCUUCUUGCUGCAGGGCCAGGACGUUCUUUCUGCAACCCCAGCCAGAGGCCCAAGAGCUGGGAGGUCCCUGGGGAGAGGCUUCUUCCAGCCUGGAAGAGGUGCUUGGCCUCCAAGCCCCCAAAACUGAUGUCAUCUCUGGGGACCCAGCUGAGGCUGGGUCAGGGGAGGAGCUCCGGGCGUGUAGGGCGGGGCGGGGCUCUAUUUCCAGCCGUGCUCCUCCCAGUUUGGGGAAAAGGCAGGGCCACCCUGGCCACACCCACCAACCUGCCCAAAGGGCUCCCCCAGGCCCCUGAUCCCUGCAUCCAAGUGGCUGUGGAAGGGGACAAGUGCGCCCCACACCCCGGAGUGAGCCCCCCGAGGGAGUGAGACGCAGCCGGGGAGCAGGAGUGGAGAAGUCACCGGUGGAGGC